GUCAAAGCAAAAGUAGUUGAUUAAUUUGCAGCUGUGACUUUAAUUUUCGCUAGUGUUGUAUUUUAUCAUUAAACACGAGUUAGGCUUUUAAAGAAAAAGCAACUGAGCGACAGUUAGCGCAACAAUGUCGUCGGAGGAAUUCGAGAAGUUGCACGAAAUCUUCAAAUCGCUUUACGAGGAGCUGAAGCUGAUGCCGGAGAGAGCCGAGACAUGUCACGGAGAGGAGAGAAAGAGGCUGGUGAGGAGCUUCGACGAGAGGCAGGGGGAGGCUGAGGAAGUGUUACAAGGAAUGGAGGAUGAGCUGCGUGUUGCUCCUUCUUCCUACCGCAAUGCAAUGAAUACAAAGCUGCGCAUGUACCGCCGGGAUCUGGGCAAGCUGCAGAGGGACAUGAAAACCUCUGUGCCUGGAUUUGGUGCUUCUUUCCACACAGCAGAGAGAAGUCAUCAAGGCAUCUAUUCAUCACAAAACCAGCAGAGUACACACUUGCAGUCUCAGAGAGCCCUGCUCCUCCAGGGCACAGACUCUCUCAACAAUGCCACACAGAGUAUUGAACGAAGUCAGCGCAUCGCCGCAGAGACGGAUCAGAUCGGCACGGAUAUCAUCGAGGAGCUGGGAGAGCAGAGGGAACAGCUGGACCGCACCAGAAACAGAUUGGUUCAUACUGGAGAGAACCUCAGUCGAAGUAGAAAAAUUCUUCGUGCCAUGUCUCGGCGGCUCGUGACGAACAAGUUGCUGUUAGGUAUCAUCAUUAUAAUGGAGUUGGCCAUUCUAGGUGCUGUGGUUUAUCUGAAGUUCUUCCGAAAAUGAGCAAACUACAUCUAAAAAACCCCAAAAACUCUUAAGCUUUGGAUCCAGGGCAAGUCCAGACUCUCUGAAACUGUCUCCACCGACUCUCCAAUAGCAAUAAUGUUCCUCUUGUUUCUGUGCGUGCAAAUAAGGACGAGACGAUUAUGUCUUUAAGUGGACCUUUAUUAGGAGGGGAUUCUGUCCAUCAGCAGGUGAAAUCAUUUGACAAGAAAGUCCAAUUGUUGAACCUGUAAAUGGACCAAACUUACAGAAACUCUGUGGACAAACUGUGACCUGAGAUUUGCACUUUUUUUUUUUUUAAAUCAGACUGUUUUUACCGUUGAUGCACUGCAGGAUGAGUUUCUGGACUUGUAUGCUGGCUGCUACAGACCCCAGAGAUGAUGAGAUGAUGCAGGAUUUAUUCAGUACCAUCGACUUACUCCCACAGGGAUGGCAAGCAAAGGUUAGAAAAACAUCCGCUGUGGAGCUGACGUCACCCAAAUUUGUUACAGGCUGAAGCCCCACACCCGGCCAGUUCAGUAUACACAACUACAAUCAUGGGGACGCCAGAUGACGACCAUGGACACCCUUCACAAGGACGGUAAGCCACAGAAGGUCAUUGCAGAAAAGGCUGGCUGUUCCCAGAGUGCUGUAUGGAAGAAUAUUAAUGGAAAAUUGACUGGAAGGGGAAAGUGCAGCAGGAAAAGGUGUACAAGCAACAGAGAUGACUGCAGGAUUGAGAGGAUUGUGAAGAAAAGUUGAUUCAAGAACUUGAAUUUCGCAAGGAGUGGACUGAAGCUGGUGUCAGUGCAUAAAGAGAGACCACACAGAUGUCUUCGGGAAAAGGGCUAAAACGGUCGCAUUCUUAAUGUCACGCCACUCCUGAACCAGAGACAUCAUCAGAGGCGUCUUACCUGGAUCAAGGCGAAGAAGAACUUGACUGUUGCUCAGUGGUCCAAAGUCCUCUUUUCAGAUAAGAGCAAAGUUUGCACUUCAUUUGGAAAUCAAGGUCCUUUAUCAAGUCCAAAGUCAAUGUCUACCAAAAGAUUUUAGAGCACUUCAUGCUUCCAUCUGCUGACAAGCUUUAUUGAGAUGCAGAUUUCUUUUCCAGCAGGGCUUGGCGCCUGCCCACAGUGCCAAAAGUCCUUCCAAAUGGUUAAGCUGACCAUGAUUGCAAACUCGCCUGACCUGAAACUCUGGGGUAUUGUCAAGAGGAAGAUGAGAAACACUCCACCCAAAAAAUACAGACAAGCUGAAGGCAGCUAUCAAAGCAACGUCGGCUUCAUACCACCUCAACACUGCCACAGGUUGAUCGCCUCCAUCCCACACCGCAUUGAUGCAGGAAUUCGUAGUAACGGAGCCCGAACCUGGUAUUUAGUGUAUAAAUGAACAUACCUUUCAGAAGUUGGACAUUUCUGUUUUGUAGAUCAUUUUUUGAAUGAUCCAAGGAAAUAUUCUAAGAAUUUGAGAUACUGAAUUUCUGAGUUUCAUGAGCUAUAGUCCUUAAUCAUCUAAAUUAAAACAAAAAAAGGCUUGAAAUAUUUCAGUUUAUGUGCAAUGAAUAUACAGUGUAUGAAAGUUUACUUUUUUGAAUUGAAUUACGAAGAACAAAUGAACAACAAACUUUUUCAUGAUAUUCUUAUUUUCUGAGAUGCAUCUGUAGUACCCAAAAGUCCCAAACAGAAAUUCAUAAACAUAA
Non-coding RNA from Plectropomus leopardus (leopard coralgrouper), 2486 nucleotides. The record is from RefSeq and is a predicted model, not a curated record. Lineage: Eukaryota; Metazoa; Chordata; Actinopteri; Perciformes; Serranidae.